Molecule: ribosomal RNA, 253 nt
Filed under: uncultured bacterium
Lineage: Bacteria
Description: partial 16S ribosomal RNA
Rfam family: Bacterial small subunit ribosomal RNA
Source: RNAcentral
UACGGAGGGUGCAAGCGUUAUCCGGAAUCACUGGGUUUAAAGGGUGCGUAGGCGGCUUGAUAAGUCAGAGGUGAAAGCCCGCAGCUUAACUGCGGAACGGCAUUUGAUACUGUUGAGCUUGAAACAGGACGAGGUUGGCGGAAUGUGGCAUGCAGCGGUGAAAUGCAUAGAUAUGCCAUAGAACAUCGAUUGCGAAGGCAGCUGGCUAGAACUGAUUUGACGCUGAGGCACGAAAGCGUGGGGAGCGAACAGG